RNAcentral lists this unclassified non-coding RNA (309 nucleotides) under Hevea brasiliensis (rubber tree). Lineage: Eukaryota; Viridiplantae; Streptophyta; Magnoliopsida; Malpighiales; Euphorbiaceae. The record is from RNAcentral.
AGCUUGUCUGCACUUUUACAUGGUGAGCGUUUCUUGCCUUUGCAUUAUAUCUAUUUCUGCUUUUGGUUUUAUCAUCGUAAUUGCUGUUCUUUCUUUUAGGACCAUCUUAAUGGCCUGAUUAUACUUGUGUUCUCUAUUACAGUUAUCAUUCACAUUGCAUUGCCAUAACUUGAUUCGGGCGUGGAAACAUGCUUUGUUUCAUGUAAUAAUUUUCUUGAAUUACAUUGUACAAUCCAACUCAAGUAUAGCUUCAUCUUAGGAUAACUAUGAUUCAUUUCUAUUUUUUUUCUGUUGCAUAUAUUCUGAUGU